UGGGGAAUUUUGGACAAUGGGCGCAAGCCUGAUCCAGCCAUGCCGCGUGCGGGAAGAAGGCCUUCGGGUUGUAAACCGCUUUUGUCGGGGAAGAAAUCUUCUGAGUUAAUACCUCGGGAGGAUGACGGUACCUGAAGAAUAAGCACCGGCUAACUACGUGCCAGCAGCCGCGGUAAUACGUAGGGUGCAAGCGUUAAUCGGAAUUACUGGGCGUAAAGCGUGCGCAGGCGGUUUUGUAAGACAGAGGUGAAAUCCCCGGGCUCAACCUGGGAACUGCCUUUGUGACUGCAAGGCUUGAGUGCGGCAGAGGGGGAUGGAAUUCCGCGUGUAGCAGUGAAAUGCGUAGAUAUGCGGAGGAACACCGAUGGCGAAGGCAAUCCCCUGGGCCUGCACUGACGCUCAUGCACGAAAGCGUGGGGAGCAAACAGGAUUAGAUACCCUGGUAGUCCACGCCCUAAAGCGAUGUCAACUGGUUGUUGGGAAGGUUCCUUCUCAGUAACGUAGCUAACGCGUG
Molecule: ribosomal RNA, 514 nt
Filed under: uncultured bacterium
Lineage: Bacteria
Description: partial 16S ribosomal RNA
Rfam family: Bacterial small subunit ribosomal RNA
Source: RNAcentral